CCUACGGGUGGCAGCAGUGGGGAAUAUUGCACAAUGGGGGAAACCCUGAUGCAGCGACGCCGCGUGAAGGAAGAAGUAUUUCGGUAUGUAAACUUCUAUCAGCAGGGAAGAACAUGACGGUACCUGACUAAGAAGCCCCGGCUAACUACGUGCCAGCAGCCGCGGUAAUACGUUGGGGGCAAGCGCUAUCCGGAUUUACUGGGUGUAAAGGGCGCGUAGGCGGCGAUGCAAGUCAGAAGUGAAAGCCCGGGGCUCAACUCCGGGACUGCUUUUGAAACUGUAUGGCUAGAUGUCAGGAGAGGCAAGUGGAAGUCCUAGUGUAGCGGUGAAAUGCGUAGAUAUUAGGAGGAACACCAGUGGCGAAGGCGGCUUGCUGGACUGUAAAUGACGCUGAGGCUCGAAAGCGUGGGGAGCAAACAGGAUUAGAUACCCGGGUAGUC
This 440-nucleotide ribosomal RNA is filed under the name uncultured bacterium. RNAcentral describes it as "partial 16S ribosomal RNA". It matches the Rfam family "Bacterial small subunit ribosomal RNA", at positions 338 to 795 of the family's 1533-position model. The record is from RNAcentral.